UACCAGCACCCCGAGUGGUCGGGACGAUUAUUGGGCCUAAAGCAUCCGUAGCCGGUUUUACAAGUCCUCCGUUAAAUCCAACUGCUUAACAGGUGGGCCGCGGAGGAUACUAUAGGACUAGGAGGCAGGAGAGGCAAGCGGUACUCAGUGGGUAGGGGUAAAAUCCGUUGAUCCAUUGAAGACCACCAGUGGCGAAGGCGGCUUGCCAGAGUGCGCUCGACGGUGAGGGAUGAAAGCUGGGGGAGCAAACCGG
RNAcentral lists this ribosomal RNA (253 nucleotides) under uncultured bacterium. RNAcentral's name for it is "partial 16S ribosomal RNA". It matches the Rfam family "Archaeal small subunit ribosomal RNA", at positions 474 to 727 of the family's 1478-position model. The record is from RNAcentral.